RNAcentral lists this ribosomal RNA (253 nucleotides) under uncultured bacterium. RNAcentral's name for it is "partial 16S ribosomal RNA". It matches the Rfam family "Bacterial small subunit ribosomal RNA", at positions 524 to 776 of the family's 1533-position model. The record is from RNAcentral.
UACAGAGGGGGCAAGCGUUGUUCGGAAUUACUGGGCGUAAAGGGCGCGUAGGCGGCCUGCUAAGUCGAACGUGAAAUCCCUGGGCUCAACCCAGGAACUGCGCUCCAUACUGCAUGGCUUGAGGGAGACAGGGGUAAGCGGAACUGAUGGUGGAGCGGUGAAAUGCGUUGAUAUCAUCAGGAACACCGGUGGCGAAAGCGGCUUACUGGGUCUCUUCUGACGCUGAGGUACGAAAGCUAGGGGAGCGAACGGG